This 4293-nucleotide ribosomal RNA is filed under the name Triticum aestivum (bread wheat). Its description in RNAcentral is "partial small subunit ribosomal RNA". Lineage: Eukaryota; Viridiplantae; Streptophyta; Magnoliopsida; Poales; Poaceae. The record is from RNAcentral.
AUGGACACGGGGGAGGCGGCGUUCGGGGUGGCGAGCCUGCGGCUGGGCUCCCGGGCGUCGUCGUCCAGGGCGGGCGACGAUGACGACGAGGAGGCGCUCAUGUGGGCGGCGCUCGAGAGGCUGCCCACGCACGCCCGCGUCCGCAAGGGCAUAGUCGGGGAUGACGGCAGCCGCGGUGGUGGCGGGUUCGUCGACGUCGCCGGCCUCGGGUUCCAGGAGCGGACGCGCUUGCUCGACCGGCUCGUGCGCGUCGCCGAGGAGGACCACGAGCGCUUCUUGCACAAGCUCAAGCAGAGGAUCGACAGAGUUGGGAUCGACUUUCCGACGAUCGAAGUGCGAUACGACCACCUCAACAUCGAGGCGCUGGCACAUGUGGGGAACAGAGGCUUGCCCACCUUCAUCAACACCACUCUGAAUUCUCUAGAGACAUUAGCCAAUUUUCUUCGUAUAAUUCCGAACAAGAAGAUACCCAUCAACAUCCUGCAUGAUGUCAAUGGAAUUAUCAAGCCAAAGAGGAUGACGUUACUAUUAGGGCCACCAGGAUCUGGGAAGACUACACUGCUUCUUGCUCUGGCAGGGAAACUAGGCUCUGAUCUAAAGGUUUCAGGAAAAGUGACAUACAAUGGGCAUGGAAUGAAUGAGUUUGUGGCUCAGAGAUCAGCAGCUUACAUAUCCCAACAUGACCUCCAUAUCGCCGAGAUGACGGUACGGGAAACCUUGGCCUUCUCAGCCAGAUGCCAAGGGGUUGGAAGUAGAUACGACAUGCUUACUGAGCUAUCAAGAAGGGAGAAAGCCGCAAAUAUCAAACCAGACCCAGAUCUUGAUGUCUACAUGAAGGCAAUAUCAGUGGGCGGUCAGGAUACAAAUAUCAUCACUGAUUACAUCCUCAAGAUUUUAGGGCUUGACAUUUGCGCUGACACCAUGGUCGGAGAUGAUAUGCUGAGAGGAAUCUCAGGGGGACAACGCAAACGUGUCACAACUGGUGAGAUGAUGGUCGGAGCGGAAAGAGCACUGUUCAUGGAUGAAAUCUCCACUGGCCUGGAUAGCUCUACCACAUACCAGAUAGUGAAAUCACUUGGACUAAUCACCAACAUCCUCAGUGGCACAACUGUCAUUUCCUUGUUGCAACCUGCACCAGAAACAUAUAAUUUGUUUGAUGACAUAAUCCUCUUGUCGGAUGGUCACAUUGUGUAUCAAGGGCCACGCGAACAUGUGCUUGAAUUCUUCGAAUCCAUGGGCUUCAAAUGUCCCGACCGGAAAGGCGUUGCCGACUUUUUGCAAGAAGUGACAUCAAGGAAAGAUCAGCCACAAUACUGGGCAAGGAGUAACAGGAGAUACCAAUACGUCCCAGUCAAGGAGUUUGCCCGUGCAUUCCAGGCAUUUCAUGUUGGCCAGAGUUUAUCUGCGGAGCUCUCUCGCCCUUUCGACAGGAGCCAGUGCCACCCUGCUUCACUGACGACCUCGACGUACGGCGCCAGCAAGACAGAGCUGCUGCGUGCGUGCAUCGAGAGGGAGUGGUUGCUCAUGAAAAGGAAUAUGUUUGUCUACCGCUUCCGGGCUUUUCAGCUUCUGAUAAUGACAGUAAUCGUGAUGACACUGUUCCUGCGCACAAACAUGCACCAUCGUACGGUUAACGACGGCAUUGUUUACCUAGGUGCUCUGUUCUUCGCUAUAGUUGCCCACAUGUUCAACGGUUUCUCUGAGCUCGCUUUGGCCACCAUAAAAUUGCCGGUCUUCUUCAAGCAAAGAGAUUACCUCUUCUUUCCUGCAUGGGCUUACGCCAUACCAACUUGGAUCCUCAAGAUACCGAUAUCUUGCGUCGAGGUCGCCAUCACAGUAUUCUUGGGUUACUACGUCAUUGGGUUCGAUCCAGAUGUUGGAAGGUUGUUCAAGCAGUACUUGCUGCUGUUGUUUGUCAAUCAGAUGGCUGCAGGAUUGUUCAGGUUUAUCGCAGCAUUGGGCAGGACCAUGGUUGUUGCAAAUACACUGGCGUCCUUCGCACUUCUUGUGCUGCUCGUGCUCAGUGGAUUCGUCCUGUCACAUCAUGAUGUGAAGAAAUGGUGGAUCUGGGGCUACUGGAUGUCACCUCUUCAGUAUGCCAUGAGUGCCAUUGCUGUAAACGAGUUCCUUGGGGAUAAAUGGCAACGGGUUCUCCAGGGGUCCAACAGAACUCUAGGAAUAGAUGUGCUCAAGUCCAGGGGCUUUUUCACUGAGGCAAAAUGGUACUGGAUUGGCGUUGGGGCACUCGUGGGAUACGUCAUCGUGUUCAACAUCCUCUUCACCCUCGCUCUAAGCUACCUUAAACCGUUGGGGAAAUCUCAGCAAAUUCUUUCAGAGGAUGCACUGAAGGAGAAGCAUGCCAAUAUCACCGGCGAAACUCCUGAUGGCUCUAUCUCUGCAGCUGCAGGGAACAUCAACAGCUCAAGGAGAAAUUCUGCCGCCCCAGAAGACAGUGGUAGGAGGGGAAUGGUCCUGCCUUUUGCGCCGCUUGCUGUUGCCUUCAACAACAUGAGAUACUCUGUUGACAUGCCUGCGGAAAUGAAAGCACAAGGUGUUGAUGAAGAUAGGCUGCUUCUGCUGAAGGGAGUCAGUGGCAGUUUCAAGCCGGGAGUCCUGACGGCGUUGAUGGGGGUUAGUGGCGCCGGCAAGACCACACUGAUGGAUGUGUUGGCUGGCAGGAAGACUGGAGGCUACAUCGAAGGCGACAUCUCAAUAUCCGGCUACCCGAAGAAGCAGGAGACCUUUGCUCGUAUCUCGGGUUACUGUGAGCAGAAUGACAUCCACUCACCAAAUGUGACCGUGUAUGAGUCCCUGGUCUACUCCGCAUGGCUCAGACUGCCUUCCGAUGUCGAGUCGGAAACAAGAAAGAUGUUCAUAGAGCAAGUGAUGGAGCUGGUAGAACUGAAUUCACUGAGAGAUGCGCUUGUUGGACUGCCUGGAGUGAACGGCCUGUCAACGGAGCAGAGGAAGAGGCUGACGAUCGCCGUCGAGCUUGUCGCUAACCCCUCUAUAAUAUUCAUGGAUGAGCCUACCUCCGGCCUUGAUGCCAGGGCCGCGGCUAUUGUCAUGAGGACGGUGAGGAACACCGUCGACACGGGCAGGACAGUUGUUUGCACCAUCCACCAGCCUAGCAUCGACAUUUUCGAAGCCUUUGAUGAGCUGUUCCUGAUGAAGAGAGGAGGGGAGGAGAUAUACGUGGGUCCUCUGGGGCACCAGUCGUGUGACCUCAUCCAAUACUUUGAGGGAAUCGAACGGGUCAGCAAGAUCAAACCAGGGUACAAUCCGGCGACUUGGAUGCUGGAAGUGACCUCACAGGCACAAGAAGACAUACUAGGUGUCAGUUUCGCAGAAGUCUACAAGAACUCAGACCUGUACCAGAGAAACCAGAGCAUGAUCAGGGACAUCAGCAGGGCCCCUGCUGGCUCCAAGGAUCUCUACUUCCCCACGCAGUACUCGCAGAGCUCCAUCACCCAAUGCAUGGCGUGUCUGUGGAAGCAGCACCUGUCCUACUGGAGGAACCCUCAGUACACCGUGGUCCGCUUCUUCUUCUCCCUCGUCGUCGCGCUCAUGUUCGGCACCAUAUUCUGGCAACUUGGGGGCAAGAGGUCGAGGACGCAGGACCUGUUCAACGCGAUGGGGUCCAUGUACGCUGCGGUGCUCUUCAUGGGGAUCUCCUACUCGUCGUCGGUGCAGCCCGUGGUGGCGGUGGAGCGGACGGUGUUCUACCGGGAGCGGGCGGCCGGGAUGUACUCAGCGCUGCCAUACGCGUUCGGACAGGUGGUGGUGGAGCUCCCCUACGUGCUGGUGCAGUCGCUGGCGUACGGGGUGAUCGUUUACGCCAUGAUCGGCUUCCAGUGGGACGUGAAGAAGUUCUGCUGGUACCUCUACUUCAUGUACUUCACGCUGCUCUACUUCACCUACUAUGGCAUGCUCGCCGUAGGGCUCACCCCCAGCUACAACAUCGCCUCCAUCGUCUCGUCCUUCUUCUACGGCGUGUGGAACCUCUUCUCGGGCUUCGUCAUCUCGCGGCCAACAAUGCCCGUGUGGUGGAGGUGGUACUCGUGGGUGUGCCCGGUGUCAUGGACGCUCUAUGGGCUGGUGGCCUCACAGUUCGGUGACCUCAUGGAGCCUCUCCAGGACAGCGGCGUGCCCAUCGACGCCUUCCUCAAGAGCUUCUUCGGAUUCCAACACGACUUCCUGGGCGUCGUCGCCGUUGUUACUGCCGGGUUCGCUGUCCUGUUCGCCGUCGCCUUUGGUCUCUCCAUCAAGGUGCUCAACUUCCAGAGAAGGUGA